CCUACGGGGGGCAGCAGUGGGGGAUAUUGGACAAUGGGGGGAACCCUGAUCCAGCGACGCCGCGUGAGUGAAGAAGUAUUUCGGUAUGUAAAGCUCUGUCAGCAGGGAAGAAAGAAAUGACGGUACCUGACCAAGAAGCCCCGGCUAACUACGUGCCAGCAGCCGCGGUAAUACGUAGGGGGCAAGCGUUAUCCGGAAUUACUGGGUGUAAAGGGAGCGUAGACGGUUAAGUAAGUCUGGAGUGAAAGGCCGGGGGCCAACCCCGGGACUGCCCUGGAAACUAUUGAACUUGAGUGCAGGGGAGGUAAGCGGAAUUCCUAGUGUAGCGGUGAAAUGCGUAGAUAUUAGGAAGAACACCAGUGGUGAAGGCAGCUUACUGGACUGUAACUGACGUUGAGGCUCGAAAGCGUGGGGAGCAAACAGGAUUAGAUACCCUAGUAGUC
RNAcentral lists this ribosomal RNA (443 nucleotides) under uncultured bacterium. RNAcentral describes it as "partial 16S ribosomal RNA". It matches the Rfam family "Bacterial small subunit ribosomal RNA", at positions 338 to 795 of the family's 1533-position model. The record is from RNAcentral.